GGGGAGCCAGCACAGCCACCACACAGAAGAAACCUUCCAUCAGUAUCACCACUGAAUCACUAAAGAGCCUCAUCCCCGACAUCAAACCCCUGGCGGGGCAGGAGGCUGUUGUGGAUCUUCAUGCUGAUGACUCUCGCAUCUCUGAGGAUGAGACAGAGCGUAAUGGCGAUGAUGGGACCCAUGACAAGGGGCUGAAAAUAUGCCGGACAGUCACUCAGGUAGUACCUGCAGAGGGCCAGGAGAAUGGGCAGAGGGAAGAAGAGGAAGAAGAGAAGGAACCUGAAGCAGAACCUCCUGUACCUCCCCAGGUGUCAGUAGAGGUGGCCUUGCCCCCACCUGCAGAGCAUGAAGUAAAGAAAGGUGAGUGACAUAUUGUGAGAGAAAUGUAAUGCGGCUCCCUGAAUUCUCAGAGCACCUCAUUUGGAUCGCUGAAAGCUUUGAAUGUUUCCUGCCUUUCAUUAUAUUUUUUCGUAUAUCAUAUCUUUCUCCUACAUAUUAAGUAAGCUACUUGAGGGCCAGAUUUGACUCUGUUUAAUCUUUGAAUCUCCAUGAUGAUGAGGUUAGCCUAGCACAGUACUUUGCAGAUUAUAGGUGCUCUCCACGUUUAGAUUAAGGAGUGGCUGCUUGGUAUAAAAGAAAGGGAACCGUGAGAGUUACAUUGAGGGUGAAAAGAGCCAGUAUUGCUUCCUACCAAAAGCUGUUCUUGUGGUCUUCUUGAUAGUGACUUUAGGAGAUACCUUAACUCGACGUUCCAUU
RNAcentral lists this small RNA (756 nucleotides) under Pan troglodytes (chimpanzee). Its description in RNAcentral is "retained intron". The record is from RNAcentral. Lineage: Eukaryota; Metazoa; Chordata; Mammalia; Primates; Hominidae.